UCGAACGAGAAAGCCCUUCGGGGUGAGUAAAGUGGCGAACGGGUGAGUAACACGUGGGCAACCUGCCCCUCGCAGGGGGACAACCGGAGGAAACUCCGGCUAAUACCCCGUACGCUUGUCGAGUCGCAUGGCUCGACAAGGAAAGGUAGCUUCGGCCAUCCGGCGAGGGAUGGGCCCGCGGUGCAUUGGCUAGUUGGUGGGGUAACGGCCCACCAAGGCAACGAUGCGUAGCUGGUCUGAGAGGAUGAUCAGCCACACUGGGACUGAGACACGGCCCAGACUCCUACGGGAGGCAGCAGCCAGGAAUCUUGGGCAAUGGGCGAAAGCCUGACCCAGCAACACCGUGUGAGCGAUGAAGGCCUUCGGGUCGUAAAGCUCUGUUGAUAGGGACGAAGGGCGAAGGGUUAAUAGCCCCUAGCCUGACGGUACCUUUCGAGGAAGCCCCGGCUAACUACGUGCCAGCAGCCGCGGUAAUACGUAGGGGGCGAGCGUUG
This 494-nucleotide ribosomal RNA is filed under the name uncultured bacterium. RNAcentral's name for it is "bacterial SSU rRNA". It matches the Rfam family "Bacterial small subunit ribosomal RNA", at positions 62 to 543 of the family's 1533-position model. The record is from RNAcentral.